This 413-nucleotide ribosomal RNA is filed under the name uncultured bacterium. Its description in RNAcentral is "bacterial SSU rRNA". It matches the Rfam family "Bacterial small subunit ribosomal RNA", at positions 505 to 916 of the family's 1533-position model. The record is from RNAcentral.
GUGUCAGCCGCCGCGGUAAUACGUAGGUGGCAAGCGUUGUCCGGAUUUAUUGGGCGUAAAGCGAGCGCAGGCGGUUUCUUAGGUCUGAUGUGAAAGCCUUCGGCUUAACCGGAGAAGUGCAUCGGAAACCAGGAGACUUGAGUGCAGAAGAGGACAGUGGAACUCCAUGUGUAGCGGUGAAAUGCGUAGAUAUAUGGAAGAACACCAGUGGCGAAGGCGGCUGUCUGGUCUGUAACUGACGCUGAGGCUCGAAAGCAUGGGUAGCGAACAGGAUUAGAUACCCUGGUAGUCCAUGCCGUAAACGAUGAGUGCUAAGUGUUGGAGGGUUUCCGCCCUUCAGUGCUGCAGCUAACGCAUUAAGCACUCCGCCUGGGGAGUACGACCGCAAGGUUGAAACUUAAAUGAAUUGACGG